ACGAUGUAAAAAUGCACAACAUAUUGCAUACGACUUUGAUAUGACAGUUAUCCACACAACAGGUACUAAUGUAAUAAGGAAUAUACAACGGUUACAGACCCAGUUUCCGAUCAGUUUCCGGCCGAUUUGAAAAUAAUUUCAAUUUUGCAAUCGAGAUCCGUCGCAAGCAAAAUAUUACCAGCGAUGGAUCUGAGCGAACCAAAACGCAACAGGGCGCGUGGGGGUGCGGAAUGUUUUGGUAUCGCUCUCGCGCUCGAAGAACGGGAAAGAAAAAUUUAACGUCUGUAGACAUGCAGGCUGAUGCGGUUGGUUGUAGAGAUAACAGUCCAUUAGUCAUUAGCAAAAGAGAUUGUAUUGCGGUCAUUCUAAAACCGAGCUAUUAACAGGAGACAAAACAACGUUAACGUGACGUAGACGAUUAUUGACUCGUUUGACUGAGGAAUAAAGGAAGACUGACAGUUUAAUACCUAAACGUCGAUCGAAUUUACUUAGUGGCAUGGAAAUUACGACACAUGCAGAAAGGAAGCGGAACACUUCAACUCUCUAAUAGAAGUUUCGGCGCCGCGGCGCUGUUGCCUUGAGGAAUUCUUGCACGAGCGUCCGUUUUGUUAGAGAAGACCUAUCGAGGGUGAAAGUGAAAUCAAGAAAUGUAUAUUGAACUUCUCCAAGAUUUCAUUGUCGCGAGAGCUGUUCAAGUUAUUCUUCAGGCAGUACAGCUGGCUGCCUUAUGUCCUACUGAUAAUUGUCCGACAGGCGGAUUCUUCUUCGCUCCUGGAAGACACAUGGUAAACAACCACGCCCUUCUUGGUCACGUGUUUGAUAACUUGACAGUCAGAGAGCCAGUCGAGUGCUUUAGAAGAUGUCGGUGUGACUGUCGCUGCAUCUCUUUCAACUAUCUGACGCAUGUGAUCGAAAAUAACUGUGAACUGAAUGAAGAAAGCAGACAUACCAAUUCCAGCGCGCUGAAACCUCUGCAAGGAUCCCAGUACUAUGAUCUGGUUGAUAACUACGACAUUAUUGCCGAUGUUCCUCAUACCGAAUGCCAGAACGGAUGUUGUGGAAGUCAGCCAUGCCUUAACGGAGGAACCUGUCACGAGACUUGUGAUGUCACGGGCAAGAGAUUCACGUGCUCAUGCAAUCCACACUUCACGGGAAGAUUUUGCGAAACCGGAUGUUUCAAAGCGUUUGGAGAGAAGGUAAACUGGUUCGAAGCUCAACAAACCUGUAAGACUCUAAACGCUAGUCUUGUGUCGAUACACAGCGCCGAGGAAAACAAUUUCCUUCUGGACUUCGUUCGUCUUCAAGUUGCCUCGAACACGUCGGCAGCUUGGAGUGGACUCAACAAAUUGACAGAUCGAGACUUUGAAUGGGUUGAUGGAUAUAACGUGUCAUUCACCAAAUGGCUUCCUGGUGCACCAUUUGAUGAGGAAGAUGACAACUGCACCGUAGUAUUUGUGGAUUAUCCACCAAGCGGUUAUUGGAAAAACGUAAAUUGCUUCAAUAUCAAACGGCAUUAUAUCUGUAGCUGCAAUUGCAGUAGCAAGGAUUGCACUUUUGUUUGAGCCAUCUCAAGGUCAGACACGUAAUUAAAGUGUUACUUUUGAUAAUUCCAUUUAUUUAUUAUUUGUCCCACGCUGUGGCUAUAUUCCGAGUCAGUCUAUAGUGAGUCUUCCAUUUUUGCCUCGUGUCCACGUGACUUUGGUCACGUGAACACGAGAUUAUGCUGUGAAUUUGGAACAUUCCUCUAUAACCAUUCUUUGGGUUCUUACUGUAAGAUUCCUGUGAAGGAUGGUAGAUAGGUAGGUAGCGGAUAGACAUGGUUCAGGCACAGGGCACCCAGACAAACUGUUUCUGUGCUGUGCACAUUGACAUUUUUAUAACCAAUGUAUGGGAUUUACAGAGCACCUCGCAGAAUUGCUUAAAAUCACGAAAAUAUGAACAAAUACUUGCUCAAUAAAAGUGAAGAUAUAUCAUAUAUAUGGUGUACUGUCGUUCUUUUGGCUCAAAAUUGCCAAUUUGAGAAGGUUUGAAGGAUUCAGUUUACGUUCGCAGGUUACUAUAGAUAUAAUAAUGAAAGUUUGGAAAGUCCCAACGGCUCAAAACUGGAACAGCUCCAGCGCCGAGGCGGUUUUCGACCUGAAAAUCCCAUCGCUCGGCUUCCAAACUAAACAAAAGAGGAAAGUUCCGCGAAUCUUCUUGGAUCAUUCAAUCGAAAAUUCAUCCAAAAGCCCACUACUAGCCUUCGAACAAAACCCAGGGCCGAAAACUUCCAAGCCGUCGGAAUGCGUAGCGACAAAAAGUUGUGCCGGAGGGAAAGCGCUAUUCCCUAGCCUCUGUCUGACUGGAUACAGUUAAACAAUGGCCGUUAAAAGACCUUCCCGAGAAUAGGGUGGCACCAGGUGGCAUAGGCAAAACCAAUACAUGAGCAGUGAUGUCAAUGGCGCGAUUCAACCUAGGGAACCUUAGGCAGUAAAGACGAAAGGCGACGCAUAUUUAAAUUGCGUCGUCAAAUUUUAAUAUGGGUCGACAUAGUUGAAUUUAUUUAAGAAUAACUUAGAUCUGUUUGGUAUAUCUACCGCGUAUAAAGAAUAUUAUGUCGAGAAAGCGCUCAUCGCAAAGAUAGGGAAUUUUUUAUAGCUUUAAAAAAAAAGAAAACGCCUGGAAUAGGGAUUUUCAAAUCGUUGUUUUGCAGAGGAUUGCAAAUUAAUUCACGUGAAUUAAUUUCGUGCAGAGAUUAUUGUUGUGCCGUAUUUAGUCUUUUGUUCGGUGACAUUCUUGGGCGUUUAAUUCCUGAACAUCGGCUACCAUUACAUUUUAGCCGCGACAGUGUUGUUCUUACACUUGGCGGGGAUUAGUCGACGCAGUUCAUUCGUAAUUCUACCGGAAGCUGCCAGCUCUCAUGCCAGCUUGUACACAGGCUGGCAUGAAGCACUGUCUAAACUUUGAAGCAAUAUGCAAAGUACCCGGAACGUAUUCUCGCUGACUGGUUUUCGAUUCUCUGAUAUCAGUAUCAUUUCAAUCCAUGAAAUAACGCAACAAACAACAAAUUUAAGCUUAAAAUCACGGUCUCAAAUACAGAGCCGCGUAAAAGUUCCUGAAAUGGAAGACAUGGAAUUCUAAACUGUGCGAUAAUCUGUUUUAGGAAACCCUUUUAAUAAAGGUAAAUACUGAAGUCCCAAAAACCUAAAUGCAACCCUAACAUAAGUAAAAUCUAGUGAUCACAUUGAGCAGAUUAAAAACUAUCACAUAAUGCGCACUUUCCGAGAGUAAGCAAACAGGUACAAAAAUUAAUUGUCAAUAAGGGUGGAAUCGGGCCAGAUCGAGGCAGAUCGAAUUUUAUUCGAAAAAUUGACGGAAGUAGAAAUGUAUCCUGUCUACUUGAUCUAGCGUUACGCUUGCAUUACACUAUUUUGCUAGUUAUCCCGGACGUAGGGCAUUUAAUCACCUAAUAUGAUGCUAACAUGGGGCAGUUAAUUCGACCAAACGAAAAUUCCAAAUGUGAAAUACCGGGGGGGAAGGGUGUUAAUUAAUUUACCAGUGCACAACAGGCUGUUAGAACUCAGGUCCGAAAAUUUGCAUCUGCAGUUAAUCAUACAUUUAGGAUGGAUUAGGAGAACAAAAGGCAUGAAAAAAUUAUGUUAACACGGCUGUCGAAGAACAAAACAAAUUCAGUCGUCCCUUAAUGUGUUCACCUCACCACUUCUCCACCGAAUGUAAUACGAAAAAACGCGACUAAUGAAAAUUCUCCAUAUAAAUUUUUCCUCAUAUAUUAAGUGUUCUUAUGGCUGUUACAGAACAACAUAUGAUAGUCUCUUGUUUUUCAUUUUGAAAUGUUUUGCACGUCGGUUAAUUGUUAUGCGCAACGUUUUCUUUAAAACCAUUGUCUUUUCAGUGCCCAAGGGUAUUGUAACUAUUCUGUUAAAAUUAAAAUGCCACAUUUAGCCCAAAACUAGAGACAAUAUGGUUUUAAUACUCCGACAGCAUAUUGACCAAAGAUGAAUAUUCAUUAUCUUUCUAUUUGGCGAUGGAAAUUUCAGGGAAAGCAAUAACAACGCAACGUAAUCUUUUUUUAAACCACCUGCUGAUAAAGAACACAGAAGUCGAGAGCUAGUGGAACAAGUAAUUUCACACUAACAAUUGCGACCGACAAAGGAUGAAAAGCGACUACAUUCUCUACCGAGUUGAAUUCGACUGGAUUGCGGAAACUUGUUGUGAAUCUGAUCAAAAUUUGGCGACAGUUAUCGUCCGAUGAAAAUACGACGCGUUUACGAAGAACUUCUGAAGCAGAAAAAGCGAGCAGUGCUUCGAUUGAAGUGCCUUUCAGGGGCGACCGCUUUUCUGUUCUUCGCCGUUUUUCUCAUGGCACUUCUUGGUAUAGAUGUCGUUCAAAAACUCGCCAAAGGCUUCGAUUUUGAGAGUGGAACUUGUGUCGUAAAAGAAUCAAUUUUUACUGGUGAAAAUGUCAGCUGUAACUGUGGAAUGCGCACUUGUUUCAGUCGUUAUCCUUGUUUGCGUGUUUUUGUAAGAAUAUCAGUGGAACCAGAGCAAAGCGAACCCGUCCUCUUGCACAACACUUUUUACGACCUCAUCGGAUCAAAAUGUACUUACGGACCACCUUGCAAAGCAAAUGAGAAAGAAAACAUGGCCUCCGUACUAGACUUUAAGAAUCAAAACGGACAGAAAGGAACAGUUUUAAAAUGCUUCUAUGACCGAAAUGAACCCACAGAAGUAAUCCUGGAUGACAGCGCUCACAAAAUGAUAACCUUUCACGCCUUUUUCUGGCCGAGUUGUGUCUUCUUCAUGGGUUUAUGCCUGCUGCUAAAGGUCUAUUGCUCGAAAAAAGCUCAGAAAAAGCAAGUGUUCAUAUCCGAGGAUAUUUUGUGUGAAACAAUUGCUAAUAAUAAUGUAUCUAAUUAUCAUGAGACCAACGAAAGUCUUUGACAGAUCACUCAAAAAGGCUGUUUAAUAAUAAAUCAUAUUGAAAACACGACGGCUACGUAGUACUUUAACUAUCCUGCGAGACAGAGCGAAGGGAAUCUUUGUCUCGCAGAGUAACUUCGUUAAAACCAGUCACCGUAAACACAAGUAAGUCAGGUAUUCUUACAGAUGCCUUGUGUGAAAGCAUUUUUUGUUGUUCACAAUUAAGACAAAUGCCCAUCGAUCGAGCGAGCUAUGUUUAAAUACCGUGUUGCGUGCUGUCUGGAAGAUAAGUGCUGGUGCAUUGAAAACAGCAAAAAAAUUGGAUUAACUCACGUGAUAGGAAAAGCUGGCUCGACUUUGUCUUAUAAAGCAAGAGAGGACACGACAAGAUUUCAUGAUAGUCGCUACUAUUGCCUUAGAUAGGGGUCAGAGCCACCUUAAAGUUUUGGAAAUAUAUGGUGGCUCUGAACCCCAUGUACAGAAUGUUUUUACUCUGCCAAAAGUUGCGUCUUAUUAUGCUUAUUAAAAUUUGAUAAUACAUAAAAAAUUUCAAGGUGCAGUGCCCUGAGAAAUUGGUUUCAUUGAAUUUGUAUGAAGCAAACAAGAAAUUUAAAGAAGCUUAAUACUGGGCGCCAAAGGGUUAACUCCUAAACAAUCACUUGCUAUCGGGAUUAUGCGAGGAAUACAAAUGUAACGCUAAAUCUGCUUUGCGUGCAUGAUUAACAGUCGUCUGUUACCUUAAGGGCGUAUAAAAUAAAUAGCGGGGUUAAAAUAGAAAUUGGUCGUCAUCUGAAACGUCACUUGAGAAUUAUUGCUAGAAAUUGUGGUUGAGGGGUUUAGAGGGAUCUGAUCAGCCAAUCACCCGAACGAGCCAUCUCCUCGCGCAUUUAACCUCCCACCCUCCCCUCCCUGUCCUCCUGCUCUCUAUGGAUAAGGCAGAUGACCAAUCAGGAUUCCUGUCUCUCGAGGUCUCAACAUUUUACCCUCUCUCUCUCUUCUCAGCACCAUAGCGGUGUUGUUGGAAGAGUGAAGUAUGGGGUGAGCCACCGUUACCAUUUGUAUUUUAACGAAAAGGAAAACCAGAAAAUUCGGAGAGAAAACUUACUCCAUGCUAGAGGAGUAACAAAACGACCGACUGCCUAAUUUGAACUUGGGGUCAACAAAGGAGGGAUGGCGUACCCAAAAAACUCAUCCAUCUUGCCCUCCAAUACUUUUCAAACCCAACAUUUAAACAAAGCCAAACAUCUAAGGAAACAAACAGAAACGAGAAAUGUUGUUCCGAAGCACUCAACCGAAAUAGACUUGUUUGAUCGGAAGUUGUCAAGGAACAAUUGAGAAAUGUUUACUUUGAAUUCUCAAUAGCCAAGUAGACGAGUGUUAUUUCGCAUUGGAAACGCUCUACAACAAAAGUUUAUAUAACUGAAGCUAUCUGACCUAGAACUAACCUGGGUGAAGGAAGAAUACCUUUUUCGCAGCGGAUGAUAUUACUAGACAAACGGCGACACGGGAAAGCACAACGCAAUAGCUAUAUAGCUAUUUCACUGGUCGCGCAAUGAGCGUUUUACAGUCAAAAUUAUUCGGAAAGUAACAAAGAUGCCGUCCCAACUUCCUCUCAACAUUUCCCUAACUCCCUCCCAACCCAAAAUAAGGGGUAUCGAAUGGUUUCAUUCAGUUUAAAGGUGCUCGUAAAAUUCCGCGUUUGCUCGAAUUGCUCGCAAAAAUUAACUUAGUGCUCGGUUACUCGUGCUCGCAAAUUAUUUGCCACUGCUCACAUGCUCGGAUUCUGAAGUCUGGUAGCUUUUAGCUUCUUUUCGUUGUGUGGUUUGAAAGUUUUAGAUCUCCUUGAUCGAUUAAGCGUCCACUCUUCCAAGCGACGCACGUGAAGCUACAUCAAACAAGGUAUAAUUG
RNAcentral lists this unclassified non-coding RNA (6828 nucleotides) under Orbicella faveolata. Its description in RNAcentral is "uncharacterized LOC110056261, transcript variant X1". The record is from RNAcentral. Lineage: Eukaryota; Metazoa; Cnidaria; Anthozoa; Scleractinia; Merulinidae.